UCGCGCCCCGGCUCCCGUUC
RNAcentral lists this microRNA (20 nucleotides) under Homo sapiens (human). Its description in RNAcentral is "hsa-miR-1292-3p". The record is from miRBase by way of RNAcentral. Lineage: Eukaryota; Metazoa; Chordata; Mammalia; Primates; Hominidae.